Molecule: long non-coding RNA, 984 nt
Filed under: Suricata suricatta (meerkat)
Lineage: Eukaryota; Metazoa; Chordata; Mammalia; Carnivora; Herpestidae
Description: lncRNA (ENSSSUG00005018765.1)
Source: RNAcentral
UGUUUGUUUCCCACUCUUCAUUUAGAAUAUUGCUGGUUUUUUACAUUUUUAAUUUAGACUUUUUUUUUUUUAAGAGACAGGACUGCAGAGUGGGAAGAACAUAGACUUUGGAAUCAGACAGUUCUGGAUUUGAACCCAGGCUCAAACAUCUAUCUAACCUAUUGCAAAUAAUGUUACCUGGGCCACCAUGCCCUCAUAUUUCCUACCUAUGUCAGACAUUACUAAUUUAUUACAAUAUUGUUUCUUACUGAGCUGACAAUCCUUUUCAUGGUUGCUCAAGACAAGGGAUUUACAGUCAGUGGGGGUUGUGCCAGGAGGUAGAACCUAUCUGCAAUCUCUUUCCUGUAGGCCAAGAUUUACAGACUAGCUAUCCAAGCCAUUUCUUCAGUAGCCCACUCAAACCCGUCUCUGUUUCCUUUUAGUCUCUUCUUCACCUUGUGACAAACAGCUUUUGGGAAAAGUUACCUGUGGUGAUCCUGAACUUGCACCUUUAUGAGACUCAGAAGGAAGAAAAGUACAAACCCAUUAGCUGUUACCCUGUUCCUUAUAAGAAGGACCUGCCUUUUGGCAUUGUAGAGCUCAUGGAGGAAAGGAGAGAGGAUCUUUACCAAAUGUAUUUAAAGUAAUGUCUCACUGGCCGUUGGAAUUCAGAGCCUUCUUUACUUAUUACAAUGUCAGCUGCAACAAGGAAGCAGGUAAAUAGAAAAACAGUGCUAAAUCAUUCCUGGAUGAGAUCCAGAUGCCUGCCUGCUUGCUAGAGUUCUUCCCAUAGAGUUCCAGAUCCGUGUGGAGCUAGGGAGAGAUUCAGAAAGACUGUAGUCGGCUGAGAUAUCCUCUGGAUUCUGAUGCUGCGUUCUGAACGGCAGCUCAGCAGAGUUGACAAGGAACUCAUUAUGGUGACCAGCCUGGCCAACAGGUGCCCAUACAGUGUGGUUAUCCACAGUGCCUGGUACAGGAUCUCCUCAAAGAACCCAGUGUUCUCUG